Molecule: ribosomal RNA, 228 nt
Filed under: uncultured bacterium
Lineage: Bacteria
Description: partial 16S ribosomal RNA
Rfam family: Bacterial small subunit ribosomal RNA
Source: RNAcentral
CGGGUGAGUAAUGUCUGGGAAACUGCCCGAUGGAGGGGGAUAACUACUGGAAACGGUAGCUAAUACCGCAUAACGUCGCAAGACCAAAGAGGGGGACCUUAGGGCCUCUUGCCAUCGGAUGUGCCCAGAUGGGAUUAGCUAGUAGGUGGGGUAAUGGCUCACCUAGGCGACGAUCCCUAGCUGGUCUGAGAGGAUGAUCAGCCACACUGGGACUGAGACACGAUCCAG